This 359-nucleotide RNase P RNA is filed under the name marine eukaryotic metagenome. RNAcentral describes it as "Bacterial RNase P class A". It matches the Rfam family "Bacterial RNase P class A". From Rfam's summary of the family: Ribonuclease P (RNase P) is a ubiquitous endoribonuclease, found in archaea, bacteria and eukarya as well as chloroplasts and mitochondria. The record is from RNAcentral.
AGUCAGCUGGGCAGUCGCCGGUAAUUUGCCUUGUGUAAAUUGCGGGAGGAAAGUCCGGGCUCCAUAGGGCAGGGUGCCAGGUAACCCCUGGGGGGCGUGAGCCUACGGAAAGUGCAGCAGAGAGUAGACCGCCAACGCGCAGCUUAGGCUGUAGUUGGUAAGGGUGAAAGGGUGCGGUAAGAGCGCACCGCGCGAGUGGCAACACAUCGUGGCAAGGUAAACCCCACCUGGAGCAAGGCCAAAUAGAGAUCCGUCGACGCGGCCCGCGUUGGAUCUGGGUAGGCCGCUUGAGGCUGUUGGUGACGACAGCCCUAGAUGAAUGACUGUUCAAGACAAAACCCGGCUUAUAGGCUGGCUCU